AUGUGUCCCCCAUCCAGGCCAUAUUCCCACCAAUUUCAAGGAGAAACUUCUCUACGUGAGGGUUUCUCAGACAGCAGCUCACCCGGUCAGGUCCGGAGGAGAAAGAGAGCAGGUGAGACCUGGGGCAGGAAGGGUGCAAGCGGGUUUGGACCCAGACUUCGCAGGGAAGUGAGUCUGGGGGCACCUGUCCUCAGGGUGGCAGCGGAGCCAGCCUCCUGCUUCUCUAAUGGCUCAUCAUCCACUUGGGAAAUGCGGGAAUUUGAACCAGAUGAGGAGUCAGUGAGCUCUGUGAGCUACAGCACCCAAACCCCAGGAGCGUCAGGAACCAGCAACAAGAAGAAGAUCCGUGGAGCAUCUUCUGAGAAGCAGGCUGAGCGGACCAGGGGCAGGUACUGUUACCUUUCCAAGGUGAAGAACAUCAAUGACCAUCUGUUUCUGCUGAAGUGGUCAAUUGGUCAUGAACCUCCUGUUCCAGAUCGUUACUGUGUCCUUCAUGAUGGCAGCUGAGCUUCCAGCAGCCAAGGAAGAGAAAGUUAACAAUCGCUGCUUUCUUUAAAGGUUGAAAAAAAAGCUUCCCUCCCAUGGUGUGAACAGAGCCAUGGUACUUUAUCUAUUUAGGCUGGAUGAAGGGAUGAAGAGUCCCCUGACACAGAAAAGAGAAGGUGUUAGAUAAUACCAUUUUGCUCCAAUUUAUGAAAAUGAGGGAUCUAGUGGCACAGAUGCUAAAUUCUACCCAGUAAGAGCUGGCGUGAAAUUUUUUCCUGCAAAGACCAUAAAGAAACAGAGUAUUUCCUAAAUUGAAGAAGGGUUAUCUACUGGGGCACGUUUUUAAUACUAAGUCUGCUUUGUUUGGAAAGCAGAUUCAUUUCAGAAUGUUUACAUAUUUUCACUUAUUUAAUGCUACUUCUAAUAUUUGCUUCACAAGUCCCAGGAUGGUAGCACCCAUCCAGAAAUCACUUCUGUAUAAACUUGGCUCUUCGUUUAUACCUUUAUUUCUUAAAACUUCUCCUCCUCCUCCUCCUCCUCCUCCUUCUUCUUCUUAUUUGCUGAAAGGAAACCGAGCAUCUUGAAAGAUAGGCUGAUUCCAGGCUUGUGGCAGGAAAUUAAGAGGAGUGUGGGACAUCUUGCUGUGCUGGAAAACAAGGAAGCUAUUAAGAACUAACGCCAGGUCAGAAAGACACAGGAACGACCCAGGGCAAGAUACUGGCAAAGGAAUGAGAAAAAAAGAAGAAAGAGAGAGACGGAGCAACUAUGGCAAAAUCUCGACAACUGUUUAAUCUGGGUGACACAUGCAUGGGGGUUUGCUUUAUUAUUUCUUGUUUUUGUUUGAAUUUUUUCAUUUUUAAACUAAACACAUAAUUUAAACCUUCUUUACUGCAAAGCAACCCCUAUGCAUUCUCUAUAGAGUCAGACAACACAAAUGAAUAAAAUAAAAAGCACUGAUAAUUCUAUCA
RNAcentral lists this long non-coding RNA (1454 nucleotides) under Vulpes vulpes (red fox). RNAcentral describes it as "lncRNA (ENSVVUG00000015919.1)". Lineage: Eukaryota; Metazoa; Chordata; Mammalia; Carnivora; Canidae. The record is from RNAcentral.